CCGGCUGUGGCAACGGCCGGCGAGCUCCGCCACGAUCGACCACGAGCCGCCACCACCGUCGGGCUUCUCCCCCUCGACCCACCUAGCGCCGGAGGUGGAGGAGCGGCAAGGGGUGGCGCUGGGACGGAGGAGGAGGAGCACGGAUUCGGCGCCGACGAGCUUCUCCACGAAUCGGUCCAUGCGUGAGAUGGCGGGGGCGUAUGUGUGAUGGCGCUGCUCCGUGAGAUCCAUGGACGUGAGAUGCGAAGACAUGCCAAAGAGACACAUGCGACCAAAUGAGGCCACCGCCACGCCUGGCCGCGGGUGGUUGGAUGAUGGCGUCGGUCACAUAGCGUGCCGAGCAACGGCAGUGAGUGUGCGUCGAGCGAUGGCUUUGGAUUUCCGAUAUGAAGCAACAUUUGUACAUGCCCCGUUCCAGAAUAUGCAGAGAAGAUGGUCGCUGCAAUUGAUGAAGAACGAGUUGAUGGAAAUUAGAUUGGUGGAGUGGCCACAUGUAUUGCGAGAAAUGUUCCUCGUGUAGGUACUACCAUGUUAUGUUCAUUUUGGUGUGUUCCAGCAUAAUAAACCAAAUAAGGCCCCCUCUAUUUUUUUUCUAAUCACGAGCAUGGUUUGGGCUACAUCAUAUAUAGUAACACAAUGACUUUGGAUUUUCGGUAU
Molecule: non-coding RNA, 657 nt
Organism: Lolium perenne
Lineage: Eukaryota; Viridiplantae; Streptophyta; Magnoliopsida; Poales; Poaceae
Source: RefSeq, a predicted model, not a curated record